UGGCCCUUGGUGUAACGGUAGCACAGCAGACUCUGAAUCUGCUUGUAAUGGUUCGAAUCCAUUAGGGCCAG
This 71-nucleotide transfer RNA is filed under the name Gemmatimonadaceae bacterium. Its description in RNAcentral is "tRNA-Gln". It matches the Rfam family "tRNA". From Rfam's summary of the family: Transfer RNA (tRNA) molecules are approximately 80 nucleotides in length. Their secondary structure includes four short double-helical elements and three loops (D, anti-codon, and T loops). Lineage: Bacteria; Pseudomonadati; Gemmatimonadota; Gemmatimonadia; Gemmatimonadales; Gemmatimonadaceae. The record is from RNAcentral.